This 298-nucleotide ribosomal RNA is filed under the name uncultured bacterium. RNAcentral describes it as "partial 16S ribosomal RNA". It matches the Rfam family "Bacterial small subunit ribosomal RNA", at positions 28 to 311 of the family's 1533-position model. The record is from RNAcentral.
GAUGAACGCUAGCGGCAGGCUUAAUACAUGCAAGUCGAGGGGCAGCAUGUUCCGUAGCAAUACGGGAUGAUGGCGACCGGCAAACGGGUGCGGAACACGUACGCAACCUACCCAAAACUGAUGAAUAGCCCUCCGAAAGGAGGAUUAAUACAUCGUAACUUAAUGAAGUGGCAUCACUUUAUUAAUAUAGCUCCGGCGGUUUUGGAUGGGCGUGCGCCUGAUUAGGUUAGGNGGGUCGGGGUAACCGGGCCCACCAACGCCUGCGAUCAGUAACUGGUGUGAGAGCACGACCAGUCAC